UACAGAGGUCUCAAGCGUUGUUCGGAUUCAUUGGGCGUAAAGGGUGCGUAGGUGGCGGGGUAAGUCAGGUGUGAAAUCUCGGGGCUCAACCCCGAAACUGCACUUGAUACUGCCUUGCUCGAGUACUGGAGAGGAGAUUGGAGUUUACGGUGUAGCAGUGAAAUGCGUAGAUAUCGUAAGGAAGACCAGUGGCGAAGGCGAAUCUCUGGACAGUUACUGACACUGAGGCACGAAGGCCAGGGGAGCAAACGGG
Molecule: ribosomal RNA, 253 nt
Filed under: uncultured bacterium
Lineage: Bacteria
Description: partial 16S ribosomal RNA
Rfam family: Bacterial small subunit ribosomal RNA
Source: RNAcentral